RNAcentral lists this ribosomal RNA (468 nucleotides) under uncultured bacterium. RNAcentral's name for it is "partial 16S ribosomal RNA". It matches the Rfam family "Bacterial small subunit ribosomal RNA", at positions 28 to 507 of the family's 1533-position model. The record is from RNAcentral.
GACGAACGCUGGCGGCGUGCUUAACACAUGCAAGUCGAACGGCAAGGCCCUGCUUUUGUGGGGUGCUCGAGUGCCGACCGCGUGCGUAACACGUGCGUAACUUGCACCUGCCUUUGGCAUAACUUCAGGCAACUGGGGCUAAUACCGGAUCGGAGCUCCUGCUGCUUGGUGGGGGUUGGAAAGUUUCGGCGGUUGGGGAUGGACUCGCGGCUUAUCAUCUUGUUGGUGGGGUAGUGGCUUACCAAGGCUUUGACGGGUAGCCGGCCUGAGACGGUGACCGGCCAAAGUGGCAGAGAGAUACGGCCCGCACUCCUACGGGAUGCAGCAGUAUGGGAGUAUGCAUGAUGGGCGGAAGCCGGAUGCAGCAACGCCGCGUGCGGGAUUAUGGCCUGCGGGUUGGAGGCCGUUUUCUCCUGUGACGGAGCGUGAGUGAAGGUAAUGGGUAAAGAAGGACCGGCUAAUUACGUG